Molecule: unclassified non-coding RNA, 375 nt
Filed under: uncultured bacterium
Lineage: Bacteria
Description: contains 16S-23S intergenic spacer region
Source: RNAcentral
UCCGGCUCUACGCCGGCAGUCUCUCUAGAGUCCCCGCCAUUACGCGCUGGCAACUAAAGACGGGGGUUGCGCUCGUUGCGGCACUUAAGCCAACACCUCACGGCACGAGCUGACGACAGCCAUGCAGCACCUGUGCUAGCCCCUUACGGACACGGGCUUUCACCCGCUUUAACUAGCAUGUCAAACCCAGGUAAGGUUCUUCGCGUUGCAUCGAAUUAAGCCUCAUGCUCCGCCGCUUGUGCGGGUCCCCGUCAAUUCCUUUGAGUUUUAACCUUGCGGCCGUACUCCCCAGGCGGAUAACUUAAUGCGUUAGCUGCGCCACCAAGACCCUAAGGGCCCUGACAGCUAGUUAUCAUCGUUUACGGCGUGGACUAC